RNAcentral lists this long non-coding RNA (739 nucleotides) under Trifolium pratense (red clover). Its description in RNAcentral is "long non-coding RNA (TPRA_LNC007171)". The record is from RNAcentral. Lineage: Eukaryota; Viridiplantae; Streptophyta; Magnoliopsida; Fabales; Fabaceae.
AGUCUUUUUAAUAAGUUUUAAUAUCAUUUUAUUAGUUUAGUGUUUAAUUUAAAGUCAUUUUAAAUAAAUUGCAAUUUAUGGUUUAUUGAGUCAAUUAAGUGUUUUUCUCUAUUAAAAUAAUAUUUUGUGUAGUUUUUAUUUGCUUGGUUCAACUUAAUAGAUUUAUUGUUAAAUGUGGUAAAGACUUGACCAAGCUGGCCCAAUUAAAAGAANNNNNNNNNNNNNNNNNNNNNNNNNNNACAAAAAAACCAAGGAGGCGGAUGUGAGCAGAGAAGUAGCUGCGCAGGAGAUCACGCCCAAAAGGAGCAGGGCAUCACGCACACAUCAGGAACGGAAUUGGAGAACGGCAAUAGCGCAACAAGCAGGAGCAUCAUAUGUUAUCUGGUUUUAUUUUAUUCUCUAUGUUGCUAAUUGUCACAAUUAUGUCUAGCUAAAUUUCCAUGAUUGGUCCUUAGGGGAUUCUUAUUAUUAUUUAUCUUGAACUAUGUGAUUAUCAUAUGUUAUGAUUAAUGAAUUACGAAGUUAGUUUCUUCAAUUAUUUCUUGUGCUUAAUGCUUUACAUGACUUGAUCAACUGUGUGAUGAUUUCAAUUAUUUGUUUUACUAUGACGAUAGGAAUGAAUGAUCGAUCUAGGAAUGAUUGAUCAAUUAACUUUCACUUAAGAUAUUUCGGAUUGUUAAUUGAGAUUAAAAGAUUAAAGUUUGUAGACCUCAAUUAAUCAUAGAUUACCUAAGACAUU